UACGAAGGGGGCUAGCGUUGCUCGGAAUCACUGGGCGUAAAGCGCACGUAGGCGGAUCUUUAAGUCAGGGGUGAAAUCCCAAGGCUCAACCUUGGAACUGCCUUUGAUACUGGGGAUCUCGAGUCCGGAAGAGGUGAGUGGAACUCCUAGUGUAGAGGUGGAAUUCGUAGAUAUUAGGAAGAACACCAGUGGCGAAGGCGGCUCACUGGUCCGGUACUGACGCUGAGGUGCGAAAGCGUGGGGAGCAAACAGG
RNAcentral lists this ribosomal RNA (253 nucleotides) under uncultured bacterium. RNAcentral's name for it is "partial 16S ribosomal RNA". It matches the Rfam family "Bacterial small subunit ribosomal RNA", at positions 524 to 776 of the family's 1533-position model. The record is from RNAcentral.